Long non-coding RNA from Chenopodium quinoa (quinoa), 270 nucleotides. RefSeq lists it as uncharacterized. Lineage: Eukaryota; Viridiplantae; Streptophyta; Magnoliopsida; Caryophyllales; Amaranthaceae. The transcript is spliced from 3 exons. The record is from RefSeq and is a predicted model, not a curated record.
AAAUUGCUUCAAAAUACUACAAAAUUGCUUCAAAAUACUACGAAAUUGCUUCAAAAUAUUGCUAAAUUCCUUCAAAUGUCUACAUUUGCGAAGAAAUUCAACAAUCGCAACAACAUUCACAGAAAGAAACCGAAAAAUAUAUUUCGAAUUAGAGAGAUAAAGAGAAUGAUGAUUCAGAGAAGAAUCAUGUUCGUUGAACAUAACAAGGCAUAGUCUGAAGAAACGUGAACCAAAUUAGGAAGCAAGGAUGCGGAACUGAUGUUAUUUGAA